RNAcentral lists this ribosomal RNA (276 nucleotides) under Babesia vogeli. Its description in RNAcentral is "partial 18S ribosomal RNA". It matches the Rfam family "Eukaryotic small subunit ribosomal RNA", at positions 596 to 924 of the family's 1831-position model. Lineage: Eukaryota; Apicomplexa; Aconoidasida; Piroplasmida; Babesiidae. The record is from RNAcentral.
AGCGUAUAUUAAACUUGUUGCAGUUAAAAGCUCGUAGUUGAAUUUUAGCGUGUUCGAGUUUGCCAUUCGUUUGGCUUUUUCGAGUUCGCUUUUGGGUUUUCCCUUUUUACUUUGAGAAAAUUAGAGUGUUUCAAGCAGACUUUUGUCUUGAAUACUUCAGCAUGGAAUAAUAGAGUAGGACUUUGGUUCUAUUUUGUUGGUUAUUGAACCUUAGUAAUGGUUAAUAGGAACGGUUGGGGGCAUUCGUAUUUAACUGUCAGAGGUGAAAUUCUUAGA